UUGCUCUGCUUUGUUCUGAAAUCCCGGUCUUGUUUCCCAGCAUGAGCAAAGCACAGUUCUCAUCUAUGUAAGUGCAGACUUGCUGAUCUCAGCUAGCACUCCCCUGAAAUGGGCAGAGGCCUGUUUCAGUUGAAAGCAGAAUAUGUUAUUUUUUUAUGCUUAUGUCUGUAGUUUAUAGAAACUAUAGGCUGGUUUGGGUUGGAAGCAACCUUAAAGCUCAUACAGUUCCAAGCCCCCUGCUGCAGGCAGGGGCACUUCACACUGGACCAGGUUGCUCCAAGCCCUGUCCAACCUGGCCCUGAACACUGCCAGGGAUGGGGCAGCCACAGCUUCCCUGGGCAACCUGUGCCAGCGCCUCAGCACCCUCAUAGUGAAGAAUUACAGUUAACAGUAGUAAGUAUUCAGAGUAUUGUGCUAAACAUGCUGAAGGGUUUGGUGUCUGACCUUUAAAAUGCCCACAGCUGUUCACUUAACACGUGCUGUACUCCCACUGACCCCAGCGUGCGUGCUGCUGAGUGCGAGUGCAAGCACGCUGUGGUUCAAACUCCUCUGCUGGUAACCUGGGUGCUUGUAGUGUUGCUGCUCUCUGUCGAUUCCCAGUUUUCCAAAUUCAUGUGGUGAAGAAAGAGAUGUUGCUGCUCAUUUUCCCUCAGAAGACCCUUAGAACAAGAAGUUUGACUUUUGGAUGCCAUUUUGGCAUGCUCAUAACCAAGGGAAAAGUAGUGUGUCUCAGUCCAAUGGCCAGUGUACGUAAUUUUGUUUUACAGACUAACCACUUACGGUGUUCACCUGAGCAGAACAGUUUGGAAACUUGUGUCAUAAUUCAGUAAUGCUAGCUUGUAGCAUCCAGAUGAUGGACUGGAGAAUAUGGAAUUUAAACCAGUGUGUCAUGGAUGUGUGUCACGAUGUAGAAGAGCAAUGGCUCCCUCUUUGCUAGGCUUACCUCUUGCCUGCUCCUGCAAGGUCUUCGUGCCUGGGACAUCUCGUGGAUGUGCAUGAACAGCUGAGCCAUGGUGUGGCUGUGUCUGUGCUGCCCUUCUUUUUCCUUCCUGCUGCAUAAGGGUUGUUCAUCGACAAAGCAUGGCUGGGAUAGCUGCUCUUGUUGCACUUUACUGCCUGAACUCUAUUGUUCAGUCUUAUUUUAAAGAAAUGGAAUCAUGGUUUUGUACUUACUUUUAACUUUUCUUAAAUAAAAAGUAUGCAA
This 1204-nucleotide long non-coding RNA is filed under the name Strigops habroptila (Kakapo). Its description in RNAcentral is "lncRNA (ENSSHBG00005006958.1)". The record is from RNAcentral. Lineage: Eukaryota; Metazoa; Chordata; Aves; Psittaciformes; Psittacidae.